UACGUAGGGUGCGAGCGUCGUCCGGAAUUAUUGGGCGUAAAGGGCUCGUAGGCGGUCUGUCGCGUCGAAAGUGAAAACCCAGGGCUUAACCCUGGGCCUGCUUCCGAUACGGGCAGACUAGAGGUAUGCAGGGGAGAACGGAAUUCCUGGCGUAGCGGUGAAAUGCGCAGAUAUCAGGAGGAACACCGGUGGCGAAGGCGGUUCUCUGGGCAUUACCUGACGCUGAGGAGCGAGAGUGUGGGGAGCGAACAGG
RNAcentral lists this ribosomal RNA (253 nucleotides) under uncultured bacterium. RNAcentral's name for it is "partial 16S ribosomal RNA". It matches the Rfam family "Bacterial small subunit ribosomal RNA", at positions 524 to 776 of the family's 1533-position model. The record is from RNAcentral.